CUUGGUUUUCAGUUUUGCAGUAUUGGAAAGGACACGGCAAGGCGCCACCUCACUAGUGGGUGCUCAAAGGUUGUUUCCAGGCUGACUGAUUCAGAAUUACCUGGGUAGCUUUUAAACCAGAGAUUUCUCCCUUCCACCCUAGAUUCCUGAAGAGGGAGGUGGCUAUUAAGAAAAAAAUAAAAGGACCCUCCAGGAACUGGUAAAUAUCUUUUGGGGCAUGGCAUGGAAGUAAUAUAUUAGUAAAGCCAUUUUAAAAACCUAAUUACCAUCUACUACUAUAUCAGAGAAGAAAUGAUAUUUUAAUGUAGAAAAUUGGCUGCUAAGCUAAAUCCAUGAUGACUGCAACAAAUCCAGGAUGUCCUUUUGAAUGGAUUCUUUUGGCUGGGUGGCUUCUCAGGCAUCUUCAGCCAUUGUUAAACUCCAUGAGAAGGCG
Long non-coding RNA from Symphalangus syndactylus (siamang), 433 nucleotides. RefSeq lists it as uncharacterized. The record is from RefSeq and is a predicted model, not a curated record. Lineage: Eukaryota; Metazoa; Chordata; Mammalia; Primates; Hylobatidae.